RNAcentral lists this ribosomal RNA (493 nucleotides) under uncultured bacterium. RNAcentral's name for it is "partial 16S ribosomal RNA". It matches the Rfam family "Bacterial small subunit ribosomal RNA", at positions 29 to 523 of the family's 1533-position model. The record is from RNAcentral.
AUUGAACGCUGGCGGCAUGCUUUACACAUGCAAGUCGAACGGUAACAGGUUAAGCUGACGAGCGGCGAACGGGUGAGUAAUGCAUCGGAACGUGCCCGGUCGUGGGGGAUAACGCAGCGAAAGCUGCGCUAAUACCGCAUACGAUCUGAGGAUGAAAGCGGGGGACCGUAAGGCCUCGCGCGACCGGAGCGGCCGAUGGCAGAUUAGGUAGUUGGUGGGGUAAAGGCCCACCAAGCCGACGAUCUGUAGCUGGUCUGAGAGGACGACCAGCCACACUGGGACUGAGACACGGCCCAGACUCCUACGGGAGGCAGCAGUGGGGAAUUUUGGACAAUGGGCGAAAGCCUGAUCCAGCAAUGCCGCGUGCAGGAAGAAGGCCUUCGGGUUGUAAACUGCUUUUGUACGGAGCGAAAAGGUCCUUUCUAAUACAAGGGGCUCAUGACGGUACCGUAAGAAUAAGCACCGGCUAACUACGUGCCAGCAGCCGCCGCGG